CCAUCGAUAGCUCAGUCGGUAGAGCGGUGGACUGUAGAUCCAUAGGUCGCUGGUUCAAAUCCGGCUCGACGGA
RNAcentral lists this transfer RNA (73 nucleotides) under Dermacentor andersoni. RNAcentral describes it as "transfer RNA tyrosine (anticodon GUA)". It matches the Rfam family "tRNA". Rfam says of the family: Transfer RNA (tRNA) molecules are approximately 80 nucleotides in length. Their secondary structure includes four short double-helical elements and three loops (D, anti-codon, and T loops). Further hydrogen bonds mediate the characteristic L-shaped molecular structure. tRNAs have two regions of fundamental functional importance: the anti-codon, which is responsible for specific mRNA codon recognition, and the 3' end, to which the tRNAs corresponding amino acid is attached (by aminoacyl-tRNA synthetases). tRNAs cope with the degeneracy of the genetic code in two manners: having more than one tRNA (with a specific anti-codon) for a particular amino acid; and 'wobble' base-pairing, i.e. permitting non-standard base-pairing at the 3rd anti-codon position. Lineage: Eukaryota; Metazoa; Arthropoda; Arachnida; Ixodida; Ixodidae. The record is from RNAcentral.